This 353-nucleotide long non-coding RNA is filed under the name Manihot esculenta (cassava). RNAcentral describes it as "long non-coding RNA (MESC_LNC002423)". Lineage: Eukaryota; Viridiplantae; Streptophyta; Magnoliopsida; Malpighiales; Euphorbiaceae. The record is from RNAcentral.
UGGAAGCAUAUCAGAUUAUCCAACUCGCAAGCAGAUGUAUCUUGACACUUCAGUCAUGGGCGCUGAUUUCAGGGCCUUCGUUGAGAUUGUGUUUCAGAAUCAUGAGAAUAUUAUCCAGAGCUGGCACCUCGAUGGAUACUCCUUCUGGGUAGUCGGGUAAGAGUUAUCCCGCCCGAAAAAACUUAUAUUCAUUACUAACUUGAUAUAUAAAUUAGGAGACCAAGUUUAAGCAAGAAUUUCUCACAUUUAAUCGGAAGCUUACUAAUUUUAACCUAUGCUUGCAGAAUGGAUGGAGGAGUUUGGACGCCGGCGAGCCGUGAUCAAUACAAUCUUAGAGAUGCAGUAUCACGUUG